Molecule: ribosomal RNA, 301 nt
Filed under: uncultured bacterium
Lineage: Bacteria
Description: partial 16S ribosomal RNA
Rfam family: Bacterial small subunit ribosomal RNA
Source: RNAcentral
CAGCCGCCACGGUAAUACGGAGGGUGCAAGCGUUAUCCGGAUUUAUUGGGUUUAAAGGGUCCGUAGGCGGAUCUGUAAGUCAGUGGUGAAAUCUCACAGCUUAACUGUGAAACUGCCAUUGAUACUGCAGGUCUUGAGUAAAUUUGAAGUGGCUGGAAUAAGUAGUGUAGCGGUGAAAUGCAUAGAUAUUACUUAGAACACCAAUUGCGAAGGCAGGUCACUAAGAUUUAACUGACGCUGAUGGACGAAAGCGUGGGGAGCGAACAGGAUUAGAUACCCCUGUAGUCCCUGUCUCUUAUAC